Molecule: ribosomal RNA, 445 nt
Filed under: uncultured bacterium
Lineage: Bacteria
Description: bacterial SSU rRNA
Rfam family: Bacterial small subunit ribosomal RNA
Source: RNAcentral
CCUACGGGGUGCAGCAGUGGGGAAUAUUGGACAAUGGGCGAAAGCCUGAUCCAGCAACGCCGCGUGAGGGAUGACGGCCUUCGGGUUGUAAACCUCUUUCAGCAGGGACGGAGCGAAAGUGACGGAACCUGCAGAAGAAGGACCGGCCAACUACGUGCCAGCAGCCGCGGUAAUACGUAGGGUCCGAGCGUUGUCCGGAAUUAUUGGGCGUAAAGGGCUCGUAGGCGGUUUGUCGCGUCGGGAGUGAAAACUCAGGGCUCAACCCUGAGCGUGCUCCCGAUACGGGCAGACUAGAGGUAUGCAGGGGAGAACGGAAUUCCUGGUGUAGCGGUGGAAUGCGCAGAUAUCAGGAGGAACACCGGUGGCGAAGGCGGUUCUCUGGGCAUGACCUGACGCUGAGGAGCGAAAGCAUGGGGAGCGAACAGGAUUAGAUACCCGUGUAGUC